GCUAGCAGAUAUAUCACUCUGCAAAUCACAACUGGUAACCCACUGAAGCUAAGUAGGUGUGAGCCUGGUCAGUACCUGGAUGGGACGCCUCCUGGGAAAAACUAAGGUUGCUGCUGGAA
RNAcentral lists this ribosomal RNA (119 nucleotides) under Lepisosteus oculatus (spotted gar). The record is from RNAcentral. Lineage: Eukaryota; Metazoa; Chordata; Actinopteri; Semionotiformes; Lepisosteidae.